This 424-nucleotide ribosomal RNA is filed under the name uncultured eukaryotic phytoplankton. RNAcentral's name for it is "bacterial SSU rRNA". It matches the Rfam family "Bacterial small subunit ribosomal RNA", at positions 358 to 795 of the family's 1533-position model. The record is from RNAcentral.
GGAAUUUUCCGCAAUGGGCGAAAGCCUGACGGAGCAAUACCGCGUGAGGGAUGACGGCCUGUGGGUUGUAAACCUCUUUUCUCGAAGAAGAAGCUCUGACGGUAUUCGAGGAAUAAGCAUCGGCUAACUCCGUGCCAGCAGCCGAGGUAAUACGGAGGAUGCAAGUGUUAUUCGGAAUGAUUGGGCGUAAAGCGUCUGUAGGCUGUAUAGAAAGUCUUUUGUUAAAUGCCUCGGCUCAACCGAGAUCCAGCAAAGGAAACUUCUAUACUUGAGGGAAGUAGAGGUACAGGGAAUUCCCGGUGGAGCGGUGAAAUGCGUAGAUAUCGGGAGGAACACCAAUAUGGCGAAGGCACUGUACUGGGCUUUACCUGACGCUCAGAGACGAAAGCUAGGGUAGCAAAUGGGAUUAGAUACCCCAGUAGUC